RNAcentral lists this unclassified non-coding RNA (408 nucleotides) under Octadecabacter ascidiaceicola. RNAcentral's name for it is "cspA". The record is from RNAcentral. Lineage: Bacteria; Pseudomonadati; Pseudomonadota; Alphaproteobacteria; Rhodobacterales; Roseobacteraceae.
ACCGUUCCUGCCCCAUAUGAGCCUUGCAAACGUUAUUCUAUCUCGACCCUCUGUCUUCCUAUCAAGGCUUACAGUUCUUCGAUCUAGCACUGACUACGCCACGGUUGCCGCACUUCGCGGGCAACAUAAUAUAAGGAAGACAUGACAUGGCCAACGGUACAGUCAAAUGGUUCAACACAACAAAAGGCUUCGGCUUUAUCGCUCCUGAAACUGGCGGCAAGGACGUUUUCGUUCACAUUUCCGCUGUUGAGCGUUCCGGCCUCACAGGUCUGGCAGACGAUCAAAAGGUAACUUUUGACGUUGAAGCUGGCCGCGACGGUCGUGAGUCUGCGGUUAACCUCGCACUCGCAUAAGCUUUUGGCCUUUUGGCCAAAGUUAAGGGCGGUACCCACGGGUACCGCCCUUUUU